Phragmites australis (common reed) is the source of this 3139-nucleotide long non-coding RNA. RefSeq lists it as uncharacterized. The transcript has 2 exons. NCBI's taxonomy places the organism in Eukaryota, Viridiplantae, Streptophyta, Magnoliopsida, Poales, Poaceae. The record is from RefSeq and is a predicted model, not a curated record.
CGCGUGCCCGCAAAACCCAAGUGAAAAAUCCCGGGCACGCAUCCUCCUCUCCUGGGCGCCAAUUUCACCCCCAAAUCCCCACUCCCUCCCAGUGUCGCACCACAACGCCAGCCGCCUCCGUCGCCGUCGCACCACCCGGCCAGAGCGCCUCCUCUCCUAGCAUCGCGCCCCACGUCCAGCGCACCUCCUCUCCCAGCAACCAUCGCACCCCACAGCCACAGCGCCAGCCGCCGUCGUUGCACCCCACGGCCAUGCCAGCCACUACCUUCGCACCCCAUGGCCGACCCCAGCAAGAAAACCCACAGUCGCCACCCCCCUAAACUCCGACCUCUGGCCGCCGCCCCCUAAACCCACAGGCGCCGACGUCCACUAGAAUCCCGGAUCUGCUGCUGGCUGCGCCAAGCCUGAAGGCAUCCAUGGAGCUCAGAGGGCCUGAACAGGGAGGUCACGCUCCUCAGGAAUGAGUUGCGCUGUGCCAACCUGGUUCCCGGCGCCGUGCCUGCCGGAGCCGCCACUGGGGCUAGGAUUUGGAACGAGCUACUGGUGCAGCAGCUAGCAGCCGACCUGGUUAGGCACCUCGACGAGCUCGAGUACUACGAAAUCAAGUUAAAGCGGCCCCGCUAUUCAGUCAUGGUCUUUGGUCCCUGUUAAUCCGCCGAAGGGUUCUCCACUCCAGCGCCACGAGCUGGUCUUCGGCUCCAGGUCGAAGACACACUGCUAUCUUCGCCUAUUCCAGUCAACAAAACUACCGGUGUAGCUUUCAGCUUUCGACCGAAGGCUCGCCACCGCCUUCACCAACGCGGGAAGCCGGGACUGCUAGCACGCCUACAACCUUCGACCAAGAGUACUUCGCGAUCUUCGCCUGUAAUCCCUGAAACAAACAUGCAGUGACAAGAGUGCGAAGCCUCCGGCAGGCUUCGAGCUAUCCUACGAAGGGGGAGGGCGGGAGAUCAUCCCCAACAGGUAUAUCCCCUUCCCUUAAACGGUUGUAGGCCUUUCCAAUUUCUUGUUUCCGAUUUACACAUGGAAUCCAAUCAUUUCCGUUUGGUUUGGGCUUUCCAUUUGAGAAAUCCUUGGUGCAUUGAACGGUGGAUUUAUAGGAAUAGCAUUCUGAUGUCGCUGCAAUGGCAGUAUUGUGCUCUUGUACGCAGUUUGGUUGUCCAGAUUUGCUGAAUUAGUACUGUGAAAAAUUUCAUGACGCAUCAUUAGCAAUGAUACGCUUGGUCUGCCAUACUUAUUCAUUCAUUUUGGGUGUUCCUAUUGAAUCUUAGUAUGUCCUUGUAUUAUCAGUUGUCGAUACAUUUAUCCUGAUCUUAAGUGAAUAUGUGAUUUAUAUAAGUGAACAAAUAAUUUUUCAUUCAGAAACAUAUAUGGUCUAGAGAUGCAUUAAUAGACUGCAUUUUUAAGUAUUACAUUCCUCUACUAUGCCAUAUCCUUUGGUUCCAUGUGUAAAUUUGGCGAAGGAUAUACGGUGCCAUGUUCUGAUUUUUCACUCGUACCUUGUGGUUAUAUGGUUUUGUUAACAUCGGUGAUGUCUUCCAUGUUGGAGGGAAUAGACGUAAUAGUGGUGCCUGCAAAAGAUCAAGUGAAGAAAAAGCUGGAAUCUCAGGCAAGGUUGAUUCAGCAGACAAUUCUUGCUUCGUUGUCUAAAAUCACCAAAUUCCCUACAGAUUUGCAAAUAGAUGUGGAGUCUAAAGUGUUCACGUUGAUUCUAGUGAUUAUAAUGCAAAGUCCUGAAAAGAAUGAUAGUCAACAUUCAUUCCACACUUGAUUGAAUCUUUCAUUUCUAUAAGUGCACAUAUUACCUUUAUGGAUUAGUCCAUUUUCAAACGGGCAUUGCAUAUCGUCAUAAAUUGUGUGAACUAAUAAAGUAUUAAAUUACUCUGUUAAGCCUAAUGUGUUUAUUCCAUGUGUAUCAAAUAUUUGUUCAGUUUAUCUUGUGGUUAUAUAUAUUCAGCGUUUUUGUUAACUUCACUGCUGCCAUGCAGGCUGAAGAAAACAGUCAUAUUACUGGUCCCAUUAACAGCUCAAGAACAACUGAAGAAAGAGCUGGUGUCUCGGGCAAGGUUUAUUAGUAGACAAUUCAUACUUUGUUCCCUUGUCUGAAAUCAUUAAUGUGCCUACAUGUUUGCAAAGAAAUCUUGAGAAGAACAAGACAGAAUCAACUAGCAGGCCUCGAAACAUUAGUGUUACGGAUGACAAAUAGGGCAUCCAUGCUUUCUGCUCAGGAUAUAGCUUCCAUUGCUAAGUUUUUUACAGUGCACCUGUAAUUGUCACCUUUAUACAAUAUAUAGGCAGUCUGUCUCAUUUGAGAUCUUAGCUUUGAAUGUCAAUCACUGUUAGACGUAUCAUCAUCAUCAGUUCAUUUUUUGUGAAAAAAGCUACCUAUAGAGAUGCAAUUAUCUUGAAUGAUUUUAUCAUUUUUCUAGUCAGAUGGCCGUGUUUCUGAAGGCUGCUUAAUUGGCAUAAUGGCAUCAACUUCACUACUGAGUCAAUUUUGAGUCAAUUGGCAUAAUUCUGAUUGUUCCCCUUGUCAGGUCUUGGAAUCCUUAGGGUCAGUUCACCUCCAGCCUGCUGGCUAGCGCACUACCACCUCCAGUUGGCUUUGUGUGAGCAGAACCUGCAGUUGCACCGGUGUGAGCAGAACCUGCCAUGGAAGCUGAAGCAGAAUGAUGCCGCGCAGGCACGUGUACAUCCACGAUUCGCAGCAGCUGGCCUUGUGUGUAACGGUAAGGUUCUCUUUCUCUAGUUCUUGUUCCUUAUUUUCAUAUUGCUAUCUUAUAAGCUUUUGAUUUGUUGUUAAAGUGAUAUCAAUCUUGUAAUUUCUAGUGUCAAAGUAUGCAGCUAUUGUGAUUCUCAUGAUCUGUGUAUUGCCCCAUAUUCAGUCCAUCUCCAAUCUCCAUGUAAUCCCGUCCUACUUGUAUGACAACUGAAUCCUUUUGUGCUUGACAAGCCAACCUACUGUUGAUGCAUGUGUUUCUUUUUAUUUUGGGUUUUGCAAAUGAUUGUGUACACUCCUGAUACGUGUGGAAGACAAUAUAUGUAGCUUCAUUGUGGUACUUUGCUGAUAGAACCUAGAUGUGAACUACAGUGAGAUUUUGAUCAAUGUUAUGGUGUGUUGAUUACGUGAAUGGACUAA